GUAAAAAGCAGACUAUCGCCAGUCGUAUAGGCCUAGUAGGUAGGAGAGCGGAAUAAGUCUAAUCGAAUUCUCAAAUUUUUUAAAGUGAAAGCUAUAUGAUGUAACCAACUGUAUCUGAGGGAAAAUGAGACUUCCGAUCAUAUAUAAUUUGGAUAAAGGACUUAGUAAUGGUACUACUAGUAGCAUCAAAGGAAUUCUUACCAGUGCAAAUUUGAUUUCGGCAUCUUUUCUGGGUGUAUUCUGUCUGACUUGUGAUCGACUUGCUCAGACCGCUGCAUGUCGAAGGAACAGAGUCUUUGCAGCGCUUCUUGAUAAUUUUACCCAUGGUAUAAUUGGUUCAUGGACAUGGGCAGUAGUUCUAGGUGGAAACCUCAACAGUACCAAGAAUUUACGUCAAAUAAUAUUGGCUGGCAUCCUUGCUAGUUGCAUGGAUGUCGACCAUUUUCUUGCAGCACGGUCUAUUCACUUGAAGGAUGCGACAUCACUUCAGCAGCGACCGUUGUUUCACAUGACCACGUUGAUACCUGUAAUAGCUAUUAUCAGCGAGAUUAUCAUCUGUGCAAGUGGACUUCAUCGACUUCACUACUUUCCAUACCUUUUUACUCUCUCCUGGUUUUCACACCACAUUAGGGAUGCAACACGGAGGGGUCUGUGGCUAUGGCCAUUUGGGAGCACCCCACCUGUACCAUAUGUGAUUAGUCAAGAAUGAACUCAAUCUCACUUUAGGAAUUCUGGACAGAGCAUCGGUGUUGUCAUUAGACGCACCGAAGUCAUGACAGUCGAGUACCCGCCAAACAGGUCAUGUGAAGAAAACUCACUGAUGUCAACCUCAGGUCAGGUCAACAUACACAUUAUCAAAUUCAUUAUGCUUUUCUGUUUCUGACAAGAGUGAAUCCUUUUCACAUGCUCUAUUACCACUGAUCUGUAUAGGAUUUAGGGAUUUAGUGUAUUAACUUUGACCAAGAUGAAUGAUAUUAUUAAUCUCCUUAAGUUCAAUGCCACAAUCUUAAAUGCAUCAUUGCUUUCUUUACCCACCCUAAAAGCUGAUUUAAUUUUUGCAAUUAUUUCUCCAAAUUUGUAAUUGAGCAAUUUCACAGUAAAUAGACAUGCUCCAAGCAAUAUUUUUUAGGAAGCUAUAACUAAAGAUUUUAUUGUUUAAAAUUAAAUAUUUUUACAUUUAUAUUAUCAUAUCAAUGAGUAUACAUAUUAAAAAUCAUUUCAUGAUCACACAAUUCACAGUAAAAAAUAUGAUAUAUUGACAUACUUUUUAGCCAUAUUUCACCGUACAAAAAUGUUACAUGACAAAAAUGUCUAAAAUUAGAUGUAAGAUAUUUAAAAAAAAAUUGUAUUAUAAGGAUGGAUUCAUUAUUUCUAUAAGAAAUAUAUUGGAAACUAAUAAGAUAAAACACUAGAAAGAAAAAUAAAACCCUUUUUUAUUUAAAAAAUAUGCAAUUUGAUGGUUUUUGUAACGGACGUAACAUUGUAUGUCAAAAAUUUAGGAAGUUAAAAAUGGCCCAAUAUUCCUAAAAAAGAAAUAUAUCUGUUACUUUUAAAUGUUUAUCAAAUUAGUGAAUAUAUACAGUAAGAAAUAAAAAAAAAAUUGGUAAUCAUGCAUUUUAUUUUUAGUGCAUCCACAAUGGAAAGUCAUUGACCCAAAUGUAUGUCAAAAUCCUGUUCGUCGGUUACAUGGGAAUAGGAUUUGUAGUGUAUUAAAAUACAAACAUGCAUAUUUCUUUUGAAAAGAUAAUUUAACUAUCUUAUAAUACCCCUUUUCCAUUGAUAUCAUAUGUUCUGUUCCACAGAGUUUAGCCAAAAUCAUCUGUAUUCUAUUUUUCCAUGAAAAUGUUAGGAUAUCAUGUCCAUUUACUGUGAAAUUACUCAAUUACCAAUCCAGAUAAAGUCAUCUACAUGACAGGCCAAAAUUCAAUAAACCUGUUGAUUAUCAUUUAUCCAGUAAAACACAGCAGAAGCAACUUUAGAAAUCCUUGCUCCAGAUUCAGUCAUAAAUGCUUUCACUCUUUUGCAUUUGCAAUGUACCCACCAAACAGGUCACGUGAAUAAAACUCACUGAUGUUAACCUCAGGUCAGGUCAACAUACACAUUGUCAAGCAUACAUUUAUAUUGUUGGUGUUGCCAAGCGGCAAUAAAUAAAUAAAGUGCUAUCCUGUCGACUUCUUGAAUGAAUUGAUUGAUGCAUUCUUCUGUCAUCCCUUCCUUCAUUACCAGUUUAAUUUUCUUCUUAUCAUCUCUUUCUUGUAAUUCCUCCCACUUCUUAAACUUGAUGGGACGAUCCUUAUCCAUAUUGAGGAUUCAAGCCCCUUAGUUUCACUGUACCACGCUCCUUGCAGCAUUUAAUUUGUUCCUAUAAUUGAGCACUGUUAAGCUAGAAAGAAAACCUACAGUACCCUUCAACGUCAUAAUUUGUGUGGAUGUCUUUCUUGUAAACUGACCACAGCUGAGGAGGGGACUUUCCUUCAUUGUAGUUAUCAGUUUUGUCAUCACUGGCGUUGAAGUCUUGACAAAGCGUAAAAUGCUGGUUGUACAGUAUGUGGGAACUAGGGCGGUAAUGGAGGGCCAUGAGUUGUUUUACAGCCCUGGUGAGUCCCAGUAUCCUUGUUGUAGGCAGUAAACAAUUCAAGAUCUUUUACCUGUAAAUGAUGAUGAUGAAUUUUAAAUUGGUGAUCCGCUAGUAGCGGAUCACCUCUUGUUAUUGUCAGGAUCAUCUUUUUUUUCUUAUUCUCCUUUCUUUCUCCCCUUUUCUGU
Molecule: unclassified non-coding RNA, 2763 nt
Filed under: Anneissia japonica
Lineage: Eukaryota; Metazoa; Echinodermata; Crinoidea; Comatulida; Comatulidae
Description: transmembrane protein 267-like, transcript variant X3
Source: RNAcentral